RNAcentral lists this long non-coding RNA (822 nucleotides) under Sorghum bicolor (sorghum). RNAcentral's name for it is "long non-coding RNA (SBIC_LNC000745)". Lineage: Eukaryota; Viridiplantae; Streptophyta; Magnoliopsida; Poales; Poaceae. The record is from RNAcentral.
AUCUCUUUCUGUGGUUAGUGCUCUGAUGUCCCGAUAUAGAUAAUCUUGAAGUAAUUCUUGAUUCUUAGAUCAACUAGAGAACUCUCAGGAAACUUCCUCUCUUCCCUCCAAAAAUAAUUAUAUAGUUAUCCUUGGGCAAUCUUGGGUCUUAAUUAGUACACUCACGUUCCCUGUGGAAAAUCGAUACUCUGGAAUACUCCCGGGUGAAGGCUACAUCGGUAUCCGUGCGCUUGCGGAUUUUUCUGUUUGCGUUUAAAAUACCCAACAAGCUUUCUGGCGCCGUUGCCGGGGAACGGUAGCUGUGCUAGUUUCGAACCAAGUCGUCCGUGUAUCCUUUUUCUUUUCCUUUUUUUUUACCACACUCACCUUAUCAUUUUCACCAUACCACAUGGAUUUCACUCUAAGCAUUAAUGAGCAUGGAAUUUAUUUCAUAGCCACUUCAUUUACUCCAUGCUCAUAUGCAACAUCUUCACAAUCCAUUGGUCUCUCCAACAUCACCACAUUCGAGAUCUCCAACCCCCACUUCCUUUCUAUUUAUAAAAACUUUAAAAGGGCGGUUGUCGAUGCAUAUGUCUAUAAUAAAUUUUGCAGAUCUCGUUGAGUUGAUCUUGAUAUAGGUCAGCGUUGGAGGGGAAACCACUUCGCUGACAUAAAUUAAUGGUUUCCCAAGGACAAGCUUAGUGUCCUAAAACAAGCACUGAUCAGAUCAUAACAUGAGCUUUUAAUUAUUUGCAACAUUACCUUGUGUGUUGAGCAUAUUAGGAUAAUUGUAAAAAUAUUCCUUCGGGUAUUCUUGUCACUUACCUUUCCAGGAUUGGAGCA